UGAACCAGCCAAGUAGCGUGCAGGAUGACGGCCCUAUGGGUUGUAAACUGCUUUUAUACGGGGAUAAAGUGAGCCACGUGUGGCUUAUUGCAGGUACCGUAUGAAUAAGGACCGGCUAAUUCCGUGCCAGCAGCCGCGGUAAUACGGAAGGUCCGGGCGUUAUCCGGAUUUAUUGGGUUUAAAGGGAGCGUAGGCCGUCUGUUAAGCGUGUUGUGAAAUGUCGGGGCUCAACCUGGGCAUUGCAGCGCGAACUGGCAGACUUGAGUGCACGGGAAGUAGGCGGAAUUCGUCGUGUAGCGGUGAAAUGCUAGAUAUGACGAAGAACUCCGAUUGCGAAGGCAGCCUGCUGUAGUGCAACUGACGCUGAAGCUCGAAAGCGUGGGUAUCGAACAGGAUUAGAUACCCUGGUAGUCCACGCGGUAAACGAUGGAUGCUCGCUGUUUGCGUCUGACGUAAGCGGCCAAGCGAAAGCGUUAAGCAUCCCACCUGGGGAGUACGCCGGCAACGGUGAAACUCAAAGGAAUUGACGGGGGCCCGCACAAGCGGAGGAACAUGUAGUUUAAUUCGAUGAUACGCGAGGAACCUUACCCGGGCUUGAACUGCAGGCGAACGAUACAGAGAUGUUGAGGCCCUUCGGGGCGCCUGUGGAGGUGCUGCAUGGUUGUCGUCAGCUCGUGCCGUGAGGUGUCGGCUUAAGUGCCAUAACGAGCGCAACCCCUGUUCUCAGUUGCCAUCGGGUAAAGCCGGGCACUCUGUGAAGACUGCCUCCGCAAGGAGUGAGGAAGGUGGGGAUGACGUCAAAUCAGCACGGCCCUUACGUCCGGGGCUACACACGUGUUACAAUGGCAUGUACAGAAAGCGGGCCGUAUGCAAAUACGGUCAAAUCCCUAAAACAUGUCUCAGUUCGGACUGGGGUCUGCAACCCGACCCCACGAAGCUGGAUUCGCUAGUAAU
RNAcentral lists this ribosomal RNA (954 nucleotides) under uncultured bacterium. Its description in RNAcentral is "bacterial SSU rRNA". It matches the Rfam family "Bacterial small subunit ribosomal RNA", at positions 384 to 1342 of the family's 1533-position model. The record is from RNAcentral.